Non-coding RNA from Thamnophis sirtalis, 626 nucleotides. Lineage: Eukaryota; Metazoa; Chordata; Lepidosauria; Squamata; Natricidae. The record is from RefSeq and is a predicted model, not a curated record.
UAAAAGAACAGCAAGUGCAAGGCCACACAUUCCAUUUAGUCUUGCGGAUUAGCCAGGCUGUCAAAAGAAAGGAAGGGAAAUCAACAGUUAGAAGACAAGAUCUACAAAGAGAAGAAAUAUAUACAGCGAAACUGCUCACAAGCUGCAAAUGCUUUCUGUAUUUUCUAAUGCAACUGAAAUGAGCUGGAGAAUUCUACCAGUCACCAGCCUGUGAGAAAAUCAGUGCAACUACCGUUCUAUUGAUGAAAAACUGAUGCCUACAGCAAUGAUCCGCUGAAGUGGCCGCAUAUGGCCCUGAUGCUUAUGUAAGACACAUUUCACUAUAAAAGAAAGUCUCUGAACAUCUCUGAGCAUUACCAGGCAAAAAGAUGUGCAUCAAGCUGAACCUCAAGGAAAGUUCUGGAAAAUUGGUUCUAGGCACAUCUUUCAUCUGAUUAUUAUAUUUAAGCCUGCAAGAGAAUUAUACUGAAACCUACAAGGAAGCAAUACAGGUCUGCAUUAAUACUUGGACAUAUCCAGCUUUUUAUCCUUCCAAUGAUCUUAUGAAUUGGAUCACUCUUUCCUCAAAUUUACAAAAGAAGAAAUGAAACUAGACGACAGUCCCAAUGGAAGCAAAAACUAGAAAA